RNAcentral lists this ribosomal RNA (586 nucleotides) under uncultured Glomus. RNAcentral's name for it is "eukaryotic LSU rRNA". It matches the Rfam family "Eukaryotic large subunit ribosomal RNA", at positions 204 to 637 of the family's 3401-position model. Lineage: Eukaryota; Fungi; Glomeromycota; Glomeromycetes; Glomerales; Glomeraceae. The record is from RNAcentral.
CAUGGAGGGUGAGAAUCCCGUCCGGCUGACCUUCAGGACGUUUUACGAUACGCUCUCAAAGAGUCGAGUUGUUUGGGAUUGCAGCUCAAAAUGGGAGGUAAAUUUCUCCUAAGGCUAAAUACCGGCGAGAGACCGAUAGCGAACAAGUACCGUGAGGGAAAGAUGAAAAGAAUUUUGAAAAGAAAGUCAAACAGUACGUGAAAUUGUUGAAAGGGAAACGAUUGAAGCCAGUCGUACCGACGGGAAUUCAACUUCUCGAGUGCUAAUCGUGGGUGACGUUGAGCCUCACGGCCUUCGUUGCUUGUGUUGUUGGUGCUUUUGGGGUGUACUUUUCCGUAUUGGUAGGUCAGCAUCGAUUUCGAUCGUCAUAAAAUGAUCGGGGGAAUGUAGCUUCGGUCUCGUAUCGGAGUGUUAUAGACCUUGGUAGAUGUGACGAUUGGGAUCGAGGAUUGCAACGAAUACCCUUUGGGCUAUCCGUCUGUCCUCUGAAAGUCGCUCGGGUGUCGAAAGCGUGCUUAUGGCUAUUCGAGUUGGCGGUCAACAGGUUAGAACGUGAUUAUAUUCGUUAAGGAUGUUGACGUAAUGG